UUAUUAUUAUUAUUAUUAUUAUUAAGCAAAUAUUUAAUUUAUUGUUUAUUAAAUAAUUGUUUAUCAAUUGAAAUGUUGAAGAAAAAAAAGACAAAAAAGUUUUUUUCUUUAAAAUUUUUUAAGUUUGUAAAAAUACAUUUUUGCAGAAACUGUCGUGAUUGCACUUCCUUAAAGACAUUAAAUAUUUUGAUAAAAACAAAAAUAUUUUUCAUAAAAUAAUAUUAAUAGUAUUUUUUUCAUGAAAUAUUUUAUUUAAAGUAUUUUUUUCCCUAAAAAAAAAAAAUUUGCCAUUAAAUCUUUGAAAUGUCAGUCUUUGAGAACUGUUUUUUUUUAUUAUAUUUUAUAAAUAAAAAAAUAUUAUCAUCAAAUUGAUAGAUAAAAAAAAACCAGCAGAUAUUUUUCCUUACAAUUCUGACCAGAUAAUUGUGAGCUGCCUAUAUCAAAUAUAACACAUGUCUAACUAAUUUAUUAUUAUUAUUAUUAUUAUUAUUAUUAUUUAUACGAUUAUCGAAAAAAUAAUCUGUGAAGUAAAAUCAAUUUUGAACGAUUUAAACUGACUUUGGUGAAUAGUGUUUCUUGAGUUGGUAUGUCUAGCUCCUCUCAUUAGGGGAAUUAAAAUACUUGGAUUCUGAGCUUGUCUCAAGAAUGGAUGCUUCAAUAAUUCAGUUGCUGUGGCUCGUUGAGCAGGAUCUCGAACUAACAUUCUCUCUAGGAAGCCCUGCAGACGUGGACUCACCUAAAAAAAAAUAUAUUAUUAUUUUAUUUAAUUCUGUAAAAAUAUUUUUUCAAUCUCCUUAUUUGAUAAUAUUUAGUCAAUUUUUCCCAGACAUUUAUAAAUUUAUAUAAAUAUAUUUUUCACAUUUAA
Leptopilina boulardi is the source of this 865-nucleotide long non-coding RNA. RefSeq lists it as uncharacterized. The record is from RefSeq and is a predicted model, not a curated record. NCBI's taxonomy places the organism in Eukaryota, Metazoa, Arthropoda, Insecta, Hymenoptera, Figitidae. The transcript is spliced from 2 exons.